GGGNNNUUGCCAUGGGGGAACCCUGNUGCAGCGACGCCGCGUGAGCGAUGAAGCCCUUCGGGGUGUAAAGCUCUUUCGGCAGGAACGAUAAUGACGGUACCUGCAAAAGAAGCUGCGGCUAACUACGUGCCAGCAGCCGCGGUAAUACGUAGGCAGCAAGCGUUGUUCGGAGUUACUNGGGCGUAAAGAGUGUGUAGGCGGUCCUCUAAGUUCGGUGUGAAAUCUCCCGGCUCAACUGGGAGGGUGCGCCGGAAACUGGAGGGCUCGAGUAUGGGAGAGGGAAGCGGAAUUCCUGGUGUAGCGGUGAAAUGCGUAGAUAUCAGGAGGAACACCUGCGGUGUAGACGGCUUCCUGGACCAUGACUGACGCUGAGACACGAAAGCGUGGGGAGCAAACAGGAUUAGAUACCCUGGUAGUCCACGCCCUAAACGAUGCAUACUUGGUGUGGGCCGUUCAGUCGGUCCGUGCCGGAGCUAACGCGUUAAGUAUGCCGCCUGGGGAGUACGGUCGCAAGGCUGAAACUCAAAAGAAUUGACGGA
RNAcentral lists this ribosomal RNA (539 nucleotides) under uncultured bacterium. Its description in RNAcentral is "bacterial SSU rRNA". It matches the Rfam family "Bacterial small subunit ribosomal RNA", at positions 358 to 917 of the family's 1533-position model. The record is from RNAcentral.